GAUGAACGCUGGCGGCGUGCCUAAUACAUGCAAGUCGAGCGAACGGACGAGAAGCUUGCUUCUCUGAUGUUAGCGGCGGACGGGUGAGUAACACGUGGAUAACCUACCUAUAAGACUGGGAUAACUUCGGGAAACCGGAGCUAAUACCGGAUAAUAUUUUGAACCGCAUGGUUCAAAAGUGAAAGACGGUCUUGCUGUCACUUAUAGAUGGAUCCGCGCUGCAUUAGCUAGUUGGUAAGGUAACGGCUUACCAAGGCAACGAUGCAUAGCCGACCUGAGAGGGUGAUCGGCCACACUGGAACUGAGACACGGUCCAGACUCCUACGGGAGGCAGCAGUAGGGAAUCUUCCGCAAUGGGCGAAAGCCUGACGGAGCAACGCCGCGUGAGUGAUGAAGGUCUUCGGAUCGUAAAACUCUGUUAUUAGGGAAGAACAUAUGUGUAAGUAACUGUGCACAUCUUGACGGUACCUAAUCAGAAAGCCACGGCUAACUACGUGCCAGCAGCCGCGGUAAUACGUAGGUGGGCAGCGUUAUCCNGAAUUAUGGGCGUAAAGCGCGCGUAGGCGGUUUUUUAGUCUGAUGUGAAAGCCCACGGCUCAACCGUGGAGGGUCAUUGGAAACUGGAAAACUUGAGUGCAGAAGAGGAAAGUGGAAUUCCAUGUGUAGCGGUGAAAUGCGCAGAGAUAUGGAGGAACACCAGUGGCGAAGGCGACUUUCAGGUCUGUAACUGACGCUGAUGUGCGAAAGCGUGGGGAUCAAACAGGAUUAGAUACCCUGGUAGUCCGCGCCGUAAACGAUGAGUGCUAAGUGUUAGGGGGUUUCCGCCCCUUAGUGCUGCAGCUAACGCAUUAAGCACUCCGCCUGGGGAGUACGACCGCAAGGUUGAAACUCAAAGGAAUUGACGGGGACCCGCACAAGCGGUGGAGCAUGUGGUUUAAUUCGAAGCAACGCGAAGAACCUUACCAAAUCUUGACAUCCUUUGACAACUCUAGAGAUAGAGCCUUCCCCUUCGGGGGACAAAGUGACAGGUGGUGCAUGGUUGUCGUCAGCUCGUGUCGUGAGAUGUUGGGUUAAGUCCCGCAACGAGCGCAACCCUUAAGCUUAGUUGCCAUCAUUAAGUUGGGCACUCUAAGUUGACUGCCGGUGACAAACCGGAGGAAGGUGGGGAUGACGUCAAAUCAUCAUGCCCCUUAUGAUUUGGGCUACACACGUGCUACAAUGGACAAUACAAAGGGCAGCGAAACCGCGAGGUCAAGCAAAUCCCAUAAAGUUGUUCUCAGUUCGGAUUGUAGUCUGCAACUCGACUACAUGAAGCUGGAAUCGCUAGUAAUCGUAGAUCAGCAUGCUACGGUGAAUACGUUCCCGGGUCU
RNAcentral lists this ribosomal RNA (1370 nucleotides) under uncultured bacterium. RNAcentral describes it as "bacterial SSU rRNA". It matches the Rfam family "Bacterial small subunit ribosomal RNA", at positions 28 to 1381 of the family's 1533-position model. The record is from RNAcentral.